GAUGUGGCUUUGUUGGAGGAAGUGUGUCACUGGGGGUGGGCUUUGAGGUUUCAGAUGCUUAAGCCAGGCCCAGUGUCAUACUCUCUUCCUAAUGCCUGCUGAUC
Molecule: microRNA precursor, 104 nt
Filed under: Cricetulus griseus (Chinese hamster)
Lineage: Eukaryota; Metazoa; Chordata; Mammalia; Rodentia; Cricetidae
Description: miRNA (ENSCGRG00001001846.1)
Source: RNAcentral